This 515-nucleotide ribosomal RNA is filed under the name uncultured bacterium. Its description in RNAcentral is "partial 16S ribosomal RNA". It matches the Rfam family "Bacterial small subunit ribosomal RNA", at positions 28 to 523 of the family's 1533-position model. The record is from RNAcentral.
GAUGAACGCUGACGGCGUGCCUAAUACAUGCAAGUCGAGCGAAUGGAUUAAGAGCUUGCUCUUAUGAAGUUAGCGGCGGACGGGUGAGUAACACGUGGGUAACCUGCCCAUAAGACUGGGAUAACUCCGGGAAACCGGGGCUAAUACCGGAUAAUAUUUUGAACUGCAUGGUUCAAAAUUGAAAGGCGGCUUCGGCUGUCACUUAUGGAUGGACCCGCGUCGCAUUAGCUAGUUGGUGAGGUAACGGCUCACCAAGGCAACGAUGCGUAGCCGACCGGAGAGGGGGAUCGGCCACACGGGGACUGAGACACGGCCCAGACUCCUACGGGAGGCAGCAGUAGGGAAUCUUCCGCAAUGGACGAAAGUCUGACGGAGCAACGCCGCGUGAGUGAUGAAGGCUUUCGGGUCGUAAAACUCUGUUGUUAGGGAAGAACAAGUGCUAGUUGAAUAAGCUGGCACCUUGACGGUACCUAACCAGAAGGCCACGGCUAACUACGUGCCAGCAGCCGCCGUAA